Molecule: long non-coding RNA, 2978 nt
Organism: Daphnia pulicaria
Lineage: Eukaryota; Metazoa; Arthropoda; Branchiopoda; Diplostraca; Daphniidae
Exons: 2
Source: RefSeq, a predicted model, not a curated record
AAACCAGACAGAGACGCACGCAAGAGGGGUGCAGUCUUGGACAUUUUAGUAUUAUAAUCUCUCUGCCGAAUGGCGGUCGUAGUUUCCGUUCCUGGAGGAAAAAAAGCAGCUGCUACUACUUUCGACUGCAUCAGGUAUUAUAUAUUAUUUCUGGCUGUAUUCUUACUAACUUAAAACAUUUAAGAGUUGGUGUCUGGUUUCUAUUCGUGUUGGAAAGUACUGUUGGUAGUGCCAAAAAUAGUUGCGGUGGAAAUUGACAGUUUUUCUCGGAAGGGUUUUCAUUUGGUUGCACGAGACGAAAUUAAUGUUUCAAGUUAAUGCGGAAAUGAAUUGAAGAUCAUGACUCGGGCAAUAGGUUCAACGACUUUUGGAUGGAGGAUGGGUAAAAAAGGGGGGGUGGGGACGCGCUGGCGCACAGGGUUGUUGGUUGGAACUAAACCCAGGGAAAACUUUUUUGGGAUGGCCCCUUUGUUCGUCCCCUUUCCAACCCCUACUAAAAAGAGGGGGGAAAAAAUGGCCGACUACUAGCGCCUCUAGCAGCCGACAGUGAGGGUCACCAUCGAGCAGGGGAAAAAUGCAGACAACUGCUGGCUCGUUUCCCACACAGUAUUUUUCUUGGAAGUUGCCUUUUUUCGUAACUAUUUGUCGUCGUUCCACCUUCCUUUUCUUUCUCCAUCAAAAUCUAGAUCCUGGGAAGGUCGUGUGUUUUUGAACUGGGAAAGAGACACAACAGAAAGGAAUGUUCCGGUGCGGAAAUGCCAGCCCAACCAAAAAGCUUCCGGUUGAGGAUGACUUGUUAGAAAGCGUAGAAUAUUGCGGCUAAAAGUUAUGCGCAAUAAAGUGGGUGGAGGAUCUAAAAAUAAGAGAAAAGUCGAUGACCUGGGCCGAGAAAAAAUAAGAAACAUCCCCCCUCUCACGUCAACGACGUCUUGUAACGACCUUGAAAUGGAAACAAACCGGCCUGCCGAUGCCCCCAAGGACGACGACGACGACGGCCAAUGGAAGACAGCAACCACACGUGCCGGUCGUCCCGUCAUUCAUGGAACGACCUCCGUUCCAGAAAAAACACAAUUUCCGAGAUAGGAUUAAUUUUUUCGACGUAUCACUUAAAGUUUCUAGAAUCCCUUCACUUCACAUUUUAUUUCUAGCAGAAAUAAAACCAAACCGUGUGUGGGAAACCGGUUCGAUAACCAUAAGGUUUUUUCGUUUCUUUGAAAGUCAAGAAGGAAAUUUUUUAAGUGGUUUUACAGCAGCAGCAGCAGGGGGAAAGUUAGAGAGCGUCCGUGAUCGAGAAGAAGAUGGUUUCAAGUUUCACGAUGGCUGCCAAGGGGAGAAGAACUGGAGGGCAGGUGGAACGGAAACGGGUGGGAGGGUAACAGACUUUUAUCACGUGGAGGGGCCACGAUAUUUUUGAAUAAGAUGGCGAUUUGGUGUAAAGCAGCAACCCACCUUCGAUAUCUAUUUAAGGUGGAACAGCCCACACAGUCCCCCCCUAGUGACGUCAUUGUGAGGGAGUGACAAAUUUGUGUAUGUGUGGGGGGGAGCAGGCGGCUAAAAUUGUUGAGUCACCAGCGGCUGAGCAAUCGAGUCCGAUAGGUCAACAGCUGACAAGAUUUCACCAUCGUGUGUAUACGUGAGUGUGUGAUUCACUAACUUUCUACAUGACUGGGGGUGUUGUGUGUCUCUCUUUCCAUUCCAGAAAAUUCUAAAUUAUUUCCGACCAGCCUUGGGAUUCAUUUCAACCAGAAGGAAAAGUUUGCAACCGCAAAUGUCGAAAUGUCUGCAACAAUGCAAACACCUGGUGGUGGUUGAUCCUUUUCCAGGAAUGCUGCUGCUGUCGUUGAUUAGAUCACAUAAGGGAAAGAAGGUCGGCCCUGACGUUGUGACGUCAUUCCGCCUCGCCGACAUUCCAGUGAUUUCCACAGAAAACCGUUUUCUGUGUGCGUGUGUGUGUGGGUUGGCGGAUGGAAAAAUAAAAAGCCAGACAGCAGACGGGGUGUGUGGGUCCGAGAGAAAGGAGGAGCUUCCCACACCGGCUAAAAACCCGCCCACUUUUUCCCCCUUGGGGAGCCGGUUGGUGAGGGGAGGGCUAGCCAUAGCCAUGAGCCGCCGCAGAUUCACCAACCAGUCUUCAUCCGGCUGUUCUCCCGUUAACACUUGCUUCUCCCCCUUCUCUCUCAUUCAUAGUGUGUCUUGUUAAUACUUUUAGGUUAUCGCAUUAAGUUAAACAUUAUGGCUUUUAAGUUUUAGUGAAUUGAAAUUGUUUUAGUGACUUCAAAUUGUUAUUAAUUCUUCUUCGAGAAUACGACGACAACCAUUUCACAUUAUUACUACUGGCCACUCCCCGUGCUGCGACAGGUGCUUCCGGCUGUGUUAAUAAUUGCGAGUCAGGUACCUGAAGUAGCGCGCGGAGUGGCUCGGAACGAUCUCCAUUUUACUGGUGCUGCCGCCGCCACCGACAUCCAUUCUCUCCCUCCCCCUCAAUUUUUCGUUAUGUGAAUUCCCGACCGUCUCUAUUGGCCUCAUUUUUACCCGUCAUCGAUCCAGGAUGUCAGUAAAUGCCAUAUCACCUUUAAUCUGAUGAUGUUGCAACUAUUUAUUUUUAUAUUUUCGGCCUCGUCUGGUGGAUUACGUAACUCGAGAUUUUUAUUUUCCCGAUUCGUUCAAAAGUGAAAAUUCCUCAUUGUGUGCGUUCGCGUGUGCCAUUUCUUAAUUUGACAUCGACAACGCCCAAGAGAGAAAAGAGAAGCACCUGUUGUUCAUUGUACUUCAUCAGGUGCUCUGGUCAAUCGUACGUGAACGUUUCCUUUCUGGAAAUCAUAUUCCCGGCACCUGCUGGAGUGCAAUUGAUGCGAAAGUGCAUUCUGCAUCCAUCUUUUUCUCUCUUUUGUUAUUGCGUUGUUUCAUCAAUGUAAUCAUGUUGUCAUGGACUAUGUAUGAAUUUUUCGUACCAAUAAACUCGUGUGUUUCUUUUUGAA